GGAGCAGCCCAGAGCCUGAAUCAGUGUGUGUGUUAGUGGAAGCGUCUGGAAAGGCGUGCGAUACAGGGUGACAGCCCCGUACACAAAAAUGCACAUACUGUGAGCUCGAUGAGUAGGGCGGGACACGUGGUAUCCUGUCUGAAUAUGGGGGGACCAUCCUCCAAGGCUAAAUACUCCUGACUGACCGAUAGUGAACCAGUACCGUGAGGGAAAGGCGAAAAGAACCCCGGCGAGGGGAGUGAAAAAGAACCUGAAACCGUGUACGUACAAGCAGUGGGAGCACGCUUAGGCGUGUGACUGCGUACCUUUUGUAUAAUGGGUCAGCGACUUAUAUUCUGUAGCAAGGUUAACCGAAUAGGGGAGCCGAAGGGAAACCGAGUCUUAACUGGGCGUUAAGUUGCAGGGUAUAGACCCGAAACCCGGUGAUCUAGCCAUGGGCAGGUUGAAGGUUGGGUAACACUAACUGGAGGACCGAACCGACUAAUGUUGAAAAAUUAGCGGAUGACUUGUGGCUGGGGGUGAAAGGCCAAUCAAACCGGGAGAUAGCUGGUUCUCCCCGAAAGCUAUUUAGGUAGCGCCUCGUGAAUUCAUCUCCGGGGGUAGAGCACUGUUUCGGCAAGGGGGUCAUCCCGACUUACCAACCCGAUGCAAACUGCGAAUACCGGAGAAUG
RNAcentral lists this ribosomal RNA (671 nucleotides) under Escherichia coli. RNAcentral describes it as "partial 23S ribosomal RNA". It matches the Rfam family "Bacterial large subunit ribosomal RNA", at positions 294 to 972 of the family's 2925-position model. Lineage: Bacteria; Pseudomonadati; Pseudomonadota; Gammaproteobacteria; Enterobacterales; Enterobacteriaceae. The record is from RNAcentral.